UACAGAGGUCUCAAGCGUUGUUCGGAUUCAUUGGGCGUAAAGGGUGCGUAGGCGGCGCGGUAAGUCGGGUGUGAAAUCUCGGAGCUUAACUCCGAAACUGCAUUCGAUACUGCCCUGCUUGAGGACUGGAGAGGAGACUGGAAUUUACGGUGUAGCGGUGAAAUGCGUAGAUAUCGUAAGGAAGACCAGUGGCGAAGGCGGGUCUCUGGACAGUUCCUGACGCUGAGGCACGAAGGUCAGGGGAGCAAACGGG
RNAcentral lists this ribosomal RNA (253 nucleotides) under uncultured bacterium. RNAcentral's name for it is "partial 16S ribosomal RNA". It matches the Rfam family "Bacterial small subunit ribosomal RNA", at positions 524 to 776 of the family's 1533-position model. The record is from RNAcentral.